CACUUUCAAAUAUUAUUCAAUUAAACGAGAUGAAAUCCACAUCGGAACCUCAAACCGAAACUCAACACAAAGUCCAAAUCAUAUCUCAACCACGAAUAUCAAAAUUAGAUUCCCGAAUCUCACCCCGCACUCUAUUUUCAUCAACCUAAAACAAAAAUCUAGAAACAAUGAGAGACCCGUACCGAUUCGUGCACCCCAUUACUGCUCCGUUGGGGUUUGCUUAGAUUGGAGAAUAUUUGUUAUUGUGGUGUCACCGGCGAUCCAGAUAACUCAGGUAACAGCAAUAUUCAAUGAAUGGGAUCGAACUCCGGCAGCUCUCAGGAGAAACUCGCCGGAGCUGUAACCCUACCCCUUUUUUUCGAUUCUCACUCCCUCCUUCUCUCGAUUUAUGUCUCUCUUAAUCUCCCUUUAUUCUAUGUGUGUAUGUGUGCGUGCCAUUUUUUGUAUGCUGUCCAAAAAAAAUCACGUUAUUUUAUCCUAAGAGAAAACGGCAUCCUUUUUUUCUCAAAAUGAUAAUGAUCCAAAAAAAAUCCCUCCUUGUUGUUGUCCUUAUUUCUAUUUAUGUACAGUGAGGUUUUUAUUUGCGUAUGACAAAAUGACAACAAAAAUGGUAGGAUCCAAGUAAGGUGUGCAUCUGGAAAUUUCUUGGAAUAUUCACUAUGUGAAUACUUAUCCGUUUGAUUUUGGGAAAAGAAAGGGGAGGGGGUCACAUGGGAGGUGGGGUAGUAGGGUGUUAAGUGGUUUUCUUAUUGGAGAGGGUUGUUAAUUGGUUAUUAAAGAAGAUAAAAUUUGUUAAGGGUUGUUGGAUUUGUUAUUUUGUCAUUUUGUGGAGGGAUAAUUACACGGGGAAGGGCACGUGGUAAGAUGAAGGUAAACGAACAGAUAAGUUGCAUCUUCGGGAGGGAAAAAAUUAGUUGUCUACAUCAUGCCCCCUUUGAAUGUAAACACUAAGUGUUUUCAUAUAAAGAAGUAGACAACAAGAUCAAAUUUUGACCCGACCAUUAUUCAAGAUGAGAAACAGAAAUAAGAAAGACCACCGAGUCCUGACUCGGGACAUCCUACCCACCCAAGUUAUGGAGGAGUCAAGUGACGGGUAAUUCAAAGGAUUGGCAGGAGAUGGACUAUACCGAGUUAGAGAGUCGAGUGAGGUCCCAGCGAGGUUUUGGUCCGCGGCUCUGUCAUUACAUCAAAAUGAAAACUACAAGUUAAAACAUAAAUGAAAUUACAAAAUCCUAUCUAUACAGCUUUUGUUGGACUCCUGAAUUAAGUUUCAUCACCCUAUUCUUCAGGCGGGCUCCUGACUUGCAAUUUUAUCACUUGUUGCUUGGUUUUCAAUUGCUUCACUUUGUUGCUUAACUUUUCAUUUAUUCGCCCUGUGCUUUGGGCGGGCUCCUGACUUACCAUUUCAUCACCCUGUUCUGCAGGCAGGCUCCUAUCUUGCAAUUUUAUCACCUUGUUGUUUGGCUUUCAAUUGUUUUACCUCAUUGCUUAACUUUCAAUUUCUUUACCCUAUUCUUCAGGCGGGCUCCUGACUUGCUAUUUUUCAAUCUUUUAACUUUCAACUUUUCACCUUGUUUCUUGACUUUUAACUUCUUCACUUUGUUGCUUGACUUUUCAUUUCUUCACCUUGUUCUCCAGGAAGGCUCCUAAAAUCACAUCAAAACUAAAAAGAAAAUUAUCCCAAACAAAGAUUAUUAUAAAGAGGUUUUAUUUGUUAGAAAAGUGAAGUUCCAAACACAAGAAUUAAAUUUUGCCCAAUUUAUCAUCAAAGGACUUUUGUGAAAGUCACAUCAUUAUAGGAAUCAAAGGGAAUGACUCGACUAAAAGGUACGUCUUAUAGGAAUCAAAGGGAAUGACUCGACUAAAAGGUACGUCUUAUAGGAAUCAUAGGGAAUGACUUGACUAAAAGGUACGUCUUCUAGGGGUCAAGUGGAAUGACUCGACUAAAAGGUACGUCUUAUAGGAAUCCAAGGGAUAUGACUCUACUAAAAGGUAUGCCUUAUAGGAAUCAAAGGAAAUGACUUGACUAAAAGGUACGUCUUAUAGGAAUCAAAGGAGAUGACUCAACUAAAAGGUACGUCUUUUAGGGGUCAAGGGGAAUGACUCGACUAAAAGGUACGUCUUCUAGGGGUCAAGUGGAAUGACUCGACUAAAAGUUACGUCUUAUAGGAAUCCAAGGGAUAUGACUCGACUAAAAGGUAUACCUUAUAGGAAUCAAAGGAAAUGACUCAACUAAAAGGUACACCUUAUAGGAAUCAAAGGGAGAUGACUCAACUAAAAGGUACGUCCUCUAGGGGUCAAAGGGAAUGACUCGACUAAAAGGUACGCCUUAUAGGAAUCAAGGGAGAUGACUCGACUAAAAGGUACGUCUUAUAGGAAUCAAUGGUAAUGACUCGACUAAAAGGUACGUCUUCUAGGGGCCAAGGGGAAUGACUCGACUAAAAGGUACGUCUUAUAGGAAUCAAAGGGAGAUGACUCAACUAAAAGGUACGUCUUCUAGGUGUCAAGGGGAAUGACUCGACUAAAAGGUACAUCUUAUAGGAAUCAAAGGGGAUGACUCAACUAAAAGGUACGUCUUAUAGGAAUCAAAGAAAAUAGGAAUCAAAGGGGAUGACUCGACUAAAAGGUACGUCUUAUAGGAAUCAAGGGGAAUGACUCGAAUAAAAGGUACGUCUUCUAGGGGUCAAGGGGAAUGAAUCAACUAAAAGGUACGUCUUAUAGGAAUCAAAGGGGAUGACUCGACUAAAAGGUACGUCUUCUAGGAGUGAAGGUUCAAUUUAAGAAGUGUAUCACCUAGCAAAUGAAAACUGAAAUCCCUGGACAAGAAAGUGUGUCUUCGAGGGAUAUAGGAUGAUGAAAUUUUACCAUGAUUUUAUUAUCAAACCUGUGUAGCAAUAUUUCUUUCUGCAUUUGUAAAAGUGAGGCGUUGCAACCCUUGAUGUUUAUGCUCUGAAUCCCCUGCUUUGAAGGUAAUAUAUCUCCUGUUUCAUCAAAGAAAACUUGUGAGUUUAAAACAUGGUGGCUGGUUUGUGGCUUUAGCUUUCACGGCGAUCGCUCUUGCCCUCGUCACAUUUAACCUUGCUUCCAACCAUUAGCUUAUAUCAUUGACUUGCUGAGUCAUUGACCCGAGCUUAGAUUAUUAAGAGUGACUAAAACAAAGACAGUAUCUCUGCUUUGCCAUGCUUCUCAGAUAGACCCUUUGAACCUUGGUAUUCCCAUCAGUUCCCUGACUUCUCUGUUGACAAAACUUUCUGCAUGCCCUUUUUUGGAUCACAAUCAUGUCUCUUUCAUGUGCUAGCUUUUGUCUUGCUUUGUGCAAUUAAAGAAGCUGUUAGCCAAUUUUGAAAUCUUUUCUCACUUAUUUUGACAUGGACUUAACUCAAAGACAAGAAACAAAAAAAAGAAUAAAAAUUUUUGUUUGGAUAAAUGAAUCAAGAAAGAUAAAAUAAAAAUAAAGAGAAGAAAGAAAAGACAAUGAAUGUGCCCUUUUGAAACAAAGAAACAAAAAAUUCAACUGAAAAUGACAGUCAACACUAAUGAUUAUGCCAUGCAUUUUGGAUUAAGCAGCUUGAUCUUUUCAUCCAAAUUUUCUACCCAUUUUUGUUGAGUUAAUGGCCUUGAAACUGAGUUGUUUCCUUAGGUCAACUGCAUUUAAGACCCAUUCAGCUAGUGGCACCUUGAAGGGUUUUCGCCAACAAGCUUCUCUCAUUUUUUUUCCUCAGCUCACCAUUGCCUUAUGGUGUUUGUAAGGGUUUUCCACUAAUGAGAAUCUCUUAUCUUCAUAUCCCUUAACUCACUGUCAUUUUACGGUGCUCGUGAGGGUUUUCACCAAUAAGACUCUCUCAUUUUUAUUUCUCUCUUGAUUUCUUAUGCUGAGGAAGACAAGUAGUUACCAAAUGCAUCAUCAUAUCCCUUACAUGCUUAGCCUUAACAUCCUCAAAGAUUGAUCUGAAGGUCUUUCUUUGGUUGUAACUUGUCUUUUGGACAAGGUUAGAAAGAAAGGAUGACAUGAGUCCCAAACGACACUUGUAGUAGGGUGGGACUUACAACUUUUGGAAUUGACUCAAAUAAUAAGGAUUACCUCAUGCCCUAAUUUCUUUUGACUGGAAAAUUCUAAAUUGUUAUUUCGUUGGACCAAGCCCUAAGUAGGGCAGCCUACGUAUCUUACCCUCGAGAGAGGAGAAUCAGGUCAUGUGUAGUUCUGAUAGCUUAUUCUUUUUUUGCUUGAUUCUGACUUGUUCUUCUUCUUCUUUUUUUGUACUCUUUUUUCUUUGUGAUUUUUCUGACUCCAAUUUCUUGACACUCUUUUCUUCCUUCGUGGAUACAUUUUUCUCUCUUUCCUUUUUUUUUUAAAACUUUCUGACUCUAUUCUCUUACUCGAUUCUUUUCUUUUGAGCUUUGCUGGCUUUAUCUUGAUUCCAAAAGAGGGGUAUGAAAGAAAAUAACACUAAGGCUCAAAUGGGGUAACAAAGGAUGACACAAUGUUUGGAUAGCAGAAUAAAAUGUCUUCAUCAUAUCAAUCCUUAAAAAUACCAGUACAUAGCAUACAAUGUGAAAGUGCACUAGCAACAUCACUUAUGACAUGUUUUACAACACUAACUUUCCCCGAGCAUGUGUGUCACCUCUUUUUCUAUACUUUUCAAACAUACAACUCCACCCCUCACUUUGAAUGACUCAUGCUUUCGUGGAGUUGAUUUUCUUUCUUCUCCUCUUGAUAGGAUCACGCAGACACUGCUUGACCUAAUUGAGACAUGUCUUUCAAUUGAUGACCAAGUUAUUCUUGUGAUUCUCAAAAUAAAUGGCCUUAAUUUUCAAAUAAGGAUGAACUUGUCACCAAAUGUCUCAGCACUCUACUAUUUUCUCAGACGCUCUCUUUUUCUAGCUUUAACCCCCUGAUUUAAUGCUCAUGCUUAAACUAGAUUUUAAGAUCUGGCUGAAAAUUUCCCUAGCACGUCAUAUCAUUAGAGUCAACAUAAAAUGUACUAUGUAAAGAAAACAAACAAACAACACAUAUUUAAAACAUAAAGGAAAAUAGGAUACUUCAUUUAGUUGAAACAAAAGAUAGAAGGGUUUGAACAUAAAUAUCAAAAGGACAAAACAAGAUAGAUCCCGAACUACAACCCUGAAAUAAUUUGGAUAACAGAAAAUAAAACAAAACAAACUACCAGACCUCUCCCUAGUAAGGAGAAGGGUGACUUCUCAAAUGCUCAGCCUGACAUCUUAGCCACUGGUUUACAUAUCAGCAUGACUAGAGUUUCUCUCACUGUCAAUGUUCUGCACCAUAAUUGAUCCAUCUUGAAUCAUCUUUUCAAUAUCUCUUUUCAAAUCUCGACAAUCUUUAAUACUAUGACCCUGAGCAUCAGAAUGAUACUCACAUCGUACAUUAGGAUCAAAAUUUCUGGAAUGUCGAUUAAGAGUGCACCCAAGGAGAGGAGUGAUCAUGCCCCAUUGUACCAAUCUCUAAAAUAAACUGGCAUACGACUCUCCAAUUAGUGUGAAGCUAUCUCUUGACUUUUGCCUUAUUUCAUCGUUUGGCUUGGAUCAAAAAUCAGGCUUAGAAGGGUUUUGGUAUGUUUGUGGAAUUAGAGGACGACUUUGAGGAGUUGGUGUAUUCCACUGUAGGUAACAUGGGAGAUGAACAUAUGGUUGUGUGUUAUAAACUAGAUACGGGGGUAGAGGAGCAGAGCAUAAUGAAUUUUGGGAGUGAUUAUGUGGAGCUUGGGCAUGAACUUAGGUUGGAGCCUGAGAGCGACGACGACGGGGUCUUCUUGACCUAUCCUGCUGUCCAACUACAGUAGCAGAUGCAUCUUUCUCAUUCUUUUUCUCCCCAACACUUCCUGAACUCUUUUGAAUUGCUUGAGUAGUCGCUUUCAAUGUUGCAAAACUCACAAUGCAACCAGUCUUAAUUCCCUCUUCUAUUAUCUCCCCCAUUUUAAGAACUUCAAUGAACGGCUUGCCUAAUGCAAGUAACAAGUGUUGAUAAUAUGUUUCAUCCUGUACUUGAAUAAAUACCUCCACUAUCUUACUUUCAUUCAUUGGCGGUUUCACCCUAGCAGCUUGUUCACGCCAUCUGAUCGCAUACUCCCUGAAACUCUCAGUAUUCUUCUUUUUUCUACAAGUUAGGGAUUUUUUGUCAGGGAUCAACUCCACAUUGUAUUGAAAUUGUUGCACAAGUUCAUUAGCUAGGUCAUCCCGACUAAUCCACUUGUCAAUGUCUUGGUUAACAAACCAUUCCAAAGGUAGGCCUGAAAGACUCUCCCCGAAAUAAGCUAUGAGUAGUUCUUCCUUCCCUCCAACGCCUCUUAAUUGGUUAAAUAGCUCCUCAAAUGUGCCACUAGAUCCCCAUGUCCAUCAAAUUUCUCUAACUUGACCCCUAGAAACAUGCAUAAGUCCUUAUAUGAGACACUUUUGUAAUCCCCAAGUCCUUGCAAAUUCUUCAUAGCCAGUUCCAAACUUCUCAAUUUUCUAGUCAUUUCCUCUUGUUCUUCUGUCAUAAAAGGCUUCUCAGUGUUAGGAGGAAAUUUAGGUGGGUGAGUGUCACCGUAAAGACCAGUUAACUUGAAUGUAGGUUCAGAAGUGCAACGCUGAACACCAGUAAUAUUCAAUGCAGGCUCUCUGUAGAGUAGUGAGGCACAACUUGUGGAGGAACAUCAAAAGUAGGAGCUUCAGGUGGAGGUGGUGCCACAAAAGCAUGAACAGCAGGUGGAGCCGAGUAUAUGGUAGUCUUGGAUUGUGGAGUGAGGAAAUGAACAUCAGAAAUGGUUGGCUAUUGUUGCCCUGGAGUCGAUCCUGAUGCAUGUUGUGGCAUAUCAAUAAAAAUAGAAAAUUGUGUAUGUGACACAGGAGGCAAGCUAGAAAGAUAUUCCAGAUUAUCAGUGAGAACUGGAGGAGGCGGCCACCUAUUAUCCCAAGCUCGAUGCAUUUCUAUCAUUUGCUGCCUUAAUUUUUGAAUCUCUUUAUUAGCUCCUAAAUUAUCAUUUCCCAAACUCCCUUUCUGAUUAGUGACAAUAAACUCGGUAUCCUUGUUGGCCAUAACCUUCUCUGUGACUUGGUACACUAUGGAGGACCAACCAAAAUGCCACAAACCAACCACCUCAAACUAACUGAACAAGAGAUAGCAAAUGUGUUAGAGUUCAACACUUUCUCAAAAUCUUUUUUUCCUUUUUAAAAAGGUCACCAAACCUAAGAAGGGUGCCUACGUAUCUCACCCCCGAGAGAGGAUAAUCAGGUGUGCGUAGUUCGUGAAGUCUUGCCAAAAUGGACAAUUAAACUCUUUUUUCUUUAUUUUUCUUUUUCUUGAAAAUUUAAAAAAGAAAAGAAUAUAACAAAUUGUCAAAAAAAUUGACUAAAAACUUUUGAAUUUUUCAUCUUAACAUCCCUAUACAAAAUGACAUCUAUGAUCACCAAAGAAAUUUUUUUUGAAUUUUUGAUUUUCAAUUUCAUACAGAAAUGAAACUUGAACCUAUUAAAGAAUUAUUUUUUUUUGUAGUUUUCUUUUAAAAAUAUAUAUGAAACACCUACUCUAAAUAAAGAGUGAAGAAUAUCUUUUUGGAUUUUUCAAAUAAGAUAUAUCAAAAAUGAAACCUACAACUAUUAAGGAAAACUUUUUGUAGUUUUCUUUUCGAGGCAUAUGUGAAACACCUACUCUAAAUAAAGAGUAAAGAAAAUCUUUUUGGAUUUUUCAAAUAAGAUAUAUCAAAAAUGAAACCUACAACUAUUAAGGAAAAUCUUUUUGUAGUUUUCUUUUCGAGGCAUAUGUGAAACACCUAUUCUAAACAAAGAGUAUAGAAAAUCUUUUUGGAUUUUUCAAAUAAGAUCCCCAAACCAACAAUAGGUUGCCUACGUAUCUCACUCCUGAAAGAGGAGAAUCAGGGGUGCGUAAUUCGUCCAGAGUGGACAAUUGAGAAUUAAAUAAUGAACUGAACCCUGACUUAAGAGAAACGACCAAAGACAGACGAUGAACAAUGUAAAUAAAAUCUUUUCGAGUUUUCAGUUAGACCAUUCACAUAAGACUGAUACUAACAACUAUGAAAGAAAAAUCUUUUUGGCAUUUUCAUUUUUAUGAAAUGGACACAACUACUACCAUUUUUGAAACUUCUAAAGAAAAUCUUUUUUUUUUUGGAAUUUCUGAAUUAUGAAUGCAUGCUAAAGGAGAUAAAGGGAAAAUCUUUUUGAAAUUUUGUUUUUUUGAAAAAAUGAGUGAGAAAGGUAAAAAAUCUUUUUGAAUUUUUGAAUUGUGAAAAACUAAACCCAUAAAGAAUACUAAAAUCUACGAAACCCUUUUUGACUCAUUUCUUCUUUUUCUUUUUUUCUUUUUUUUUCAAACACACCUUACUUCUAACACAUGCUUUUCCCAAAUCAGUCCGCCAAAUGACCACAUCACCCUCAAAUAUGCAACAUUUAGCAUGUAGGAAUGCUUUAGAGGUGAGUCUCCUACAAAGGACCAAGUGGGACCCGCUAGGUCUCAAUAUGAUGCACAUAAGUAUGACCUAAAGGCUGACCUACGCCGGGAUUUACUAACAAGGUUGUUCGGGGGAGUGUAUGGUCGAUAGUGGCUGUGACAACUUUCCACCCAGUCCAUACAUCCAAUGGCUCCCCUUCCUAAAAUAAAGGUGACUCAACUAGAGUUCGUGUACACGACGUGCACUCCGAGACUUGUUGCAGAAAGAAUUGACUCGGAUUAUGAAAAUGAUGCCAGAUAUAAAGCGGUAACACAUAAGGAAAAACAGUAAACACAUAGCACGUAGGCACACAACAAUGAUAAAAUAAACACAAACAAUAACACGAAUAAUGUUUAUACACCUAUAAUGUCAAACUAAGCCGAUACAACUCCAAAAAUAAGCUCAAAUUCUGAAAAAUCCCUAGCAAAGUCGCCAGAGCUGUCACACCCCUUUUUUGCAACCAAAAAGAUUGGAUUUUAAUAUUCGAAAGGGUUUUAUUGAUUAAAGUGACAAAUGAUGAAAGUUCAUUUCGAAAAAUGAUUAUUUACAUUUUUUUUUCAGAGUCGCCACUUGGCAUAAUCUGGUGUGCCAAGUCACCAUCGGAAAAUCCUUUUCAAUACCAUUUGACUCUUUAUGACUGGUCUGUGAAAAGAGAUUCCGGCUAAGGAAUUCUGUUAACCGAGGGGAAGCUGUUAGGCACCCCUCAGUCCCGUGGUUUGACCACGGUCACUUGGCGGAGAGUAUCAUCUAAUUUUAACACUACAAAUGUAUAAGCCACAUAAAACACACAAAACAAUCAGUAAAAUCAACAAAAAACAAAACAAAUCCAAAAUCAAAAUGUCCAAUCCGAUUAUUACAAACCAAAAUAGGAAAACGCAAAAAUAAAAAUCCUAUUCUAAACUAGUCCUAGGAUAAACUCCAUUGCUUUACCCGACGCCUCGGGCCUUGACCGUGCACCAUCUUUGAGUACAACUUUCUCGGGGAAUUCCCCGAAUAAAAUAAUACAGAUACUUCGCGGCAUCCCCCGGCCAAAUGAGUACAAUUGAGUCGAAUACAAUAAAACAAAACCAUCUCAAUACACAUAUCAAUCAUUCAAUCAAUCCACAAUCUCUAGAUUUUCCUACCCGACCUACGGCUUGCCUAUUCCUUCUAGACCUACAACAUGGCACUAUCGGGUUCAACCACAUUCAUGCUUAUUCUGAAUUAAACCAAAUUACGAUAAACCAAAAUUGAUCUAUAUUCACCCAUUUUGUCAAUUUGUUAAUUUCACCCCAUCUAGCUUUAUUUUUAUCCAUCACACCAUCAACAAUACUCAAAUUCGCACCACAUAUCACCGAAAUCACAUUGUUAAGCACAUGAUCACAACAUAAAUAAAAUCCAACAAUCAUAAUCACCAAUGAUUCAUGUAAUCAAAUCAAGUUCACAAUCACAUAAGAAUUAAAAGGAAGAGAAGAAAGAAUUGUAACUCAAUGCCACUUUCAAAUAUUAUUCAAUUAAACGAGAUGAAAUCCGCAUCGGAACCUUGAACCAAACCUCAACACGAACUCCAAAUCAGAUCUCGACCACGAAUAUCAAAAUUAGAUUCUUGAAUCUCACCCCGCACUCUAUCUUUGUCAACCUAAAACAAAAAUCUAGAAACAACGAGAGACCCGUACCGAUUCGUGCACCCCAUUACUGCUCCGUUGGGGUUUUCUUAGAUUGGAGCAGAGUUGUUAUUGUGGUGUCACAGGUGAUCCGGAGAACUCAGGCAGCAGCAAUAUCCAACGAAUGGGAUCGAACUCCGGCGGCUCUCAGGCGAAACUCGCCAGAGCUGUAACCAUCCCCUUUUUUUCAAUUCUCACUCCCUCCUUUUCUUGAUUUCUAUCUCUCUUAAUCUCCCUUUAUUCUAUGUGUGUAUUUUUGCGUGCCAUUUUUUGUAUGCUGUCCAAAAAAAAAAAAAGAAAAUCACGUUAUUUUUAUCCAAGAAAAAAGAAAAUGGCGUCCUUUUUUGCUCAAAAUGAUGAUGAUCCAAAAAAAAUCCCUCCGUAUUGUUGUCCUUAUUUCUAUUUAUAUACAAUGAGAUGUCUAUGUGCGUAUGACAAAAUGAAAACAAAAAUGGUGGGGUCCAAGUAAGGUGUGCAUCUGGAAAUUUCUUGGAAGAUCCGCUAUGUGAAUACUUAUCUAUUUUAUUUUGGGAAAAAAAAGGGGAGGGGG
Molecule: long non-coding RNA, 10634 nt
Filed under: Capsicum annuum
Lineage: Eukaryota; Viridiplantae; Streptophyta; Magnoliopsida; Solanales; Solanaceae
Description: long non-coding RNA (CANN_LNC020754)
Source: RNAcentral